Zea mays is the source of this 759-nucleotide RNA transcript. It is a transcript of the gene named SAD1, with no coding region annotated. NCBI's taxonomy places the organism in Eukaryota, Viridiplantae, Streptophyta, Magnoliopsida, Poales, Poaceae. The transcript has 5 exons. The record is from RefSeq and is marked validated.
GCGCCGUCGAUAGAGUAAUCGGACGGCUAGGUAGUACCACAUGCCUUCUCGUCACAAAUCGACUAGGGCGUCUGAGACUCUGAGACACAGGAACAGAACCCUCUCUGCGCCGCCGCCGCCGUUGCAGUCGCGGCCACAUCGUCGCCUAUCCAUCCCCACCGCUCCCACUGCCACGAUUCACAAGAGGUGUCGAGAUGUCUCAGAACAACCCCUCCCAGCUCCUCCCCUCAGAGCUGAUCGAUCGGUGCAUCGGGUCCAAGAUCUGGGUGAUCAUGAAGGGGGACAAGGAGCUCGUUGGCACCCUCUGCGGCUUUGAUGUCUACGUCAAUAUGGUGCUGGAGGACGUCACCGAGUAUGAAUACACUGCUGAAGGGCGCCGCAUUACAAAACUUGACCAGAUCCUCCUAAACGGCAACAACAUAGCCAUUUUGGUUCCUGGUGGUUCACCACCCGAUGUGUAAUGAGCUUUUGCUCCCCAGAGUAACCAUUCGAGGCGAAGGCAUCUCCAUGGACUUUGCACGUUAUUUUGGCAUGGAAGCUGCCUUCUGUAUCGAACUUACUGACCUGAAGUAGUGUGCUUGCAUAGCUGUGGUUAUAUGAUUGGCUAUGCUAAUUCUGUGUAUGUCUGCUCGCCAUCAUUGUACUGCAAUGUGAAUUCCAGGUAAUGGAUUAUGCAGUAACCUGAUAACUGGAAGUGCAUCGGUUGCAUUUGGCGUUCGCUUGUCAGCAUUACUGAUUUAAGAAAUCCCAUUUCUAUUC